This 811-nucleotide ribosomal RNA is filed under the name uncultured bacterium. RNAcentral's name for it is "bacterial SSU rRNA". It matches the Rfam family "Bacterial small subunit ribosomal RNA", at positions 93 to 895 of the family's 1533-position model. The record is from RNAcentral.
CAGCGGCGGACGGGUGAGUAAUGCCUAGGAAUCUGCCCGAUAGUGGGGGACAACGUUUCGAAAGGAGCGCUAAUACCGCAUACGUCCUACGGGAGAAAGUGGGGGAUCUUCGGACCUCACGCUAUCGGAUGAGCCUAGGUCGGAUUAGCUAGUUGGUGAGGUAAUGGCUCACCAAGGCGACGAUCCGUAACUGGUCUGAGAGGAUGAUCAGUCACACUGGAACUGAGACACGGUCCAGACUCCUACGGGAGGCAGCAGUGGGGAAUAUUGGACAAUGGGCGAAAGCCUGAUCCAGCCAUGCCGCGUGUGUGAAGAAGGUCUUCGGAUUGUAAAGCACUUUAAGUUGGGAGGAAGGGCUGUCGGCUAAUACCCUGCAGUUUUGACGUUACCAACAGAAUAAGCACCGGCUAACUUCGUGCCAGCAGCCGCGGUAAUACGAAGGGUGCAAGCGUUAAUCGGAAUUACUGGGCGUAAAGCGCGCGUAGGUGGUUCAGCAAGUUGGAUGUGAAAGCCCCGGGCUCAACCUGGGAACUGCAUCCAAAACUACUGAGCUAGAGUACGGUAGAGGGUGGUGGAAUUUCCUGUGUAGCGGUGAAAUGCGUAGAUAUAGGAAGGAACACCAGUGGCGAAGGCGACCACCUGGACUGAUACUGACACUGAGGUGCGAAAGCGUGGGGAGCAAACAGGAUUAGAUACCCUGGUAGUCCACGCCGUAAACGAUGUCAACUAGCUGUUUGGGUUCCUUGAGAACUUAAGUAGCGAAGCUAACGCGAUAAGUUGACCGCCUGGGGGAAGUACGGCCGCAAAGGUU